This is an RNA transcript of Fragaria vesca subsp. vesca, 2110 nucleotides long. It is a transcript of the gene named cytochrome P450 716B2-like, with no coding region annotated. The transcript has 4 exons. Lineage: Eukaryota; Viridiplantae; Streptophyta; Magnoliopsida; Rosales; Rosaceae. The record is from RefSeq and is a predicted model, not a curated record.
AUGGCUGCCAACCCAACAAACCCUUCUCAAAACACAUCCCAAUUCAUCAAAUUAUCUGAAACCAAUUAUCUUAAAUGGACUCGUCAAAUUCGUUCAUACCUCAAUGGUGCAGGCCUUUGGGGCUAUGUUGACGGCUCCAUCCCUGCGCCCUCCCUCACCACCGAGACCACUGCAACUGAAACUGUUCCAGCCAAGACCAUUCCCAAUCCCGAGUAUGUCAAAUGGUUCACCACAGAUCAACAGAUCUUCAAUAUCAUGAUUACCUCGUUGACCGACAGCGUUUCUGAUCUUACUGUUGGUUAUGACACCUCUAAAGAGGGUUUUGUUUCGUUUCUGGCACUCUUGCUGCUCUUCUACAGGCACAGAUCCCAGUUCACCGGCAAGUCGGCAACAACCUGCCCCCGGGUAACGUCGGCUACCCUGUGAUCGGAGAGAGACCUACGAGUUCUUCUCUUCGGGUCAGAAAGGCCACCCCGAGAAGUUCAUCUUAGACAGGGUGAGCAUGCAUGCACUCCUCCCAAGUCUUCAAGACCUCCUUGAUCGGGGAGAGAACUGCCUUCUCCAAUGAGAACAAGCUUGUCCGAGCCUGGUUUCCCAUCUGUGUCAACAAGAUCUUCCCUUCUUCUACCGAAACCUCCGCCGCAGAGGAGUCCAACAAGGCAACAAGAUGAAAAGGAUGCUACCCAAUUUCUUGAAGCUCGACGCUCUGCAACGGUACUUCGGAGUCAUUAACCAGUGCACCCAAUCUCACUUUGCAGAUAGCUGGGAAAACCAAAACCAAGUUCAUGCCUUUGAACUCGCUCAGAACCACACCUUCAAGCUUGCUGCACGCUUGUUCGUUAGCCCUGAAGAUCAAGCAGACGUCGAAAAACUCAGGAAACCGUUCAGUUUAGUGAAUGCCGCACCGGAACCAUAUCGUUGCCCAUCGACUUGCCAGGAACUCCGCUUAAUAAAGCCAUCGGGGCCGUCAACUUGAUCAGGAAGGAUUUGUACAAGAUGAUCAAGCAGAGGAAGGUCGACGUAGCAGAGGGCAAUGCAUCCCCCACACAGGACAUGUUAUCACAAAUGCUCUUGACCUGGGAUGAAGAUGGAUCAUAUCAGAAGGAAUCCGAAAUCGCCGUUAAGAUUCUUGGUAUGUUGGUUACUGGAUUCGACACAGUUAGUGCUGCACUGACUUUUAUUGUCAAGUAUCUUGCCGACUUUCCUCGUAUCUAUGACGCAGUUUACAAAGAGCAAACGGAGAUUGUAAAUUCAAAAACCAUUGGGAAGCCGUUGAAAUGGGAAGACCUUCAGAAGAUGAAAUACUCGUGGAAUGUAGCUCAAGAAGUGACAAGGAUGACACCACCUGUUCAAGGAAACUUCAGGGAAGCUUUAACAGAUUUUGUUUACCAUGGUUUCACCAUUCCAAAAGGGUGGAAGUUGUUUUUUGGAGUGCAAACUGGACACACAAGAGCGCCGAUUGUUUCCCUGAGCCGGAGAAGUUUGACUCGUCAAGAUUCGAAGGAAAGGGACCAGCACCUUACACAUUUGUUCCAUUUGGUGGAGGACCUAGAAUGUGUCCAGGGAAUCAGUACGCUCGGGUAGUGAUAUUUGUGUUCAUGCACCAGUUGGUCACAAGGUUCAAGUGGGAGAAGUUUAUUCCUGACGAGAAACCAUUGUUGUUGCCCUCCGCCAAGGGACUUCCCAUCCGCCUCUUUCAUCACCAAAAGAUGUAACUGAUCCACAUCGUUUGUUCUUUUCCACAAUCAAAUCAAUUUUAUCAGGGAACUUUUGAUAGCGACAACAAAGCGGGAUCUACUAUAUCCUUACACAAUAAACAAGCUAUCAAUUCCAUAGUCCUUGCAUCUGCAGAGAAACCGCACUCCCCCAUUUCUUGAAUAAGUAUCACAGCCCUUGAUGCCUCAUUGUUGUUUAACAACCCUCUGAUAAUGAUGUUAUAGGUCCAAACAUCCGGAGAGCAGCCUUUCUCUCCCAUUCCUCUCAGCAACUUUUCUGCUUCACUUAAUAAGCCCCUUUUACAAAAUCCAUGCAUCAUUAUAUUGUAUGUCCUCACAUCAGGCUUGACUCCUUUUGAUGACAAACCAGAGAAGAGAUCCAUUGCAGAAUCCAA